Molecule: ribosomal RNA, 119 nt
Filed under: Pteropus alecto (black flying fox)
Lineage: Eukaryota; Metazoa; Chordata; Mammalia; Chiroptera; Pteropodidae
Source: RNAcentral
GUCUAUGGCCAUGCCACCCUGAACAAGCCCAAUCCCGUCUGAUUUCGGAAGCUAAGCAGGGUCGGGCCUGGUUAGUACUUGGAUGGGAGACCACCUAGGAAGACCAGGUGCUAUAGGCA